ACUCCUACGGGAGGCAGCAGUGGGGAAUCUUAGACAAUGGGGGAAACCCUGAUCUAGCCAUGCCGCGUGAUCGAUGAAGGCCUUAGGGUUGUAAAGAUCUUUCAGGUGGGAAGAUAAUGACUGUACCACCAGAAGAAGCCCCGGCUAACUCCGUGCCAGCAGCCGCGGUAAUAC
RNAcentral lists this ribosomal RNA (174 nucleotides) under uncultured bacterium. RNAcentral's name for it is "partial 16S ribosomal RNA". It matches the Rfam family "Bacterial small subunit ribosomal RNA", at positions 335 to 526 of the family's 1533-position model. The record is from RNAcentral.